GGCAGCUUUUACUAUAAUGAUGAUAAAAAAAAAUGAUAAUUGCCUUUUUUGGGAGACUUUCCCAAACGUUUUUGUGGAAGAGUGAUAGAACUAAUUUGGGAGUCUUCACACCAUGUGCUAUAUAUUGAAAUGCGUUUCCAUUUCCAUGCACUUAGCUAGUCAGGGGUGGUGGAAUUAAUGUUGUAGAAGAAAGUAUACUAAAUAUUACUCUAUGAGAAAAAAAUAAUGCUAUGUUUAUUUAUGUAGGUAAAUUUUAUUAUAUGAUUCUUACCGGCAAAUAUUAUUUGGGGGACGUCCCAAAAGAAUAAGUUAUUUGGGGGACGUCCCAAAACAAAAAUAUAGAAAGUUAUUUGAGGGACCGACAGAGUAUAUAAUGGUUUCCGUGAUUGGUGUGGCUGGGUUAGAGGGGUGUUUUCAUGUAAAUGCAUGGAUGCAUCGUGUUUGCUUUUGAAGUCGAGCUUUUAAAAAUUAUCACUGUGCGGAUGUAUUGAGGCUGAUUCUACAAAGCCGGACUAAAAUUGUGUUGUGGCGUUUUUUCGCUACGUGGAACCGAGCUCGAGGGUAUUGAUAUAGUUAUUUCUCAUAUUUUCAGGGAAGGCAACGAAUAUCGUGGCGAUGGCGAGCCCUCACACGCCGAAAGGUCGGCGAUCCCGAUUAUUUCUACGGCGGUAUCUAGAGAUUUAUCUAUACAUAGUCAUGUUCGUCAAAAAUGGUGAACUUGGGCCGGUUUCAUUUUUUGCAUUGCAUGGCAAUUUCUUUUCUUGUUCUAAUUCUUAAUGAUCAUUUGUUGGUUGUGUUCUUUGUUAUGUGCAUCUGUGAUAAUUACU
This 827-nucleotide long non-coding RNA is filed under the name Salvia miltiorrhiza (redroot sage). RNAcentral describes it as "long non-coding RNA (SMIL_LNC014231)". The record is from RNAcentral. Lineage: Eukaryota; Viridiplantae; Streptophyta; Magnoliopsida; Lamiales; Lamiaceae.